AAUGAACGCUGGCGGCGUGCCUAAUACAUGCAAGUCGAGCGAAUGGAUUAAGAGCUUGCUCUUAUGAAGUUAGCGGCGGACGGGUGAGUAACACGUGGGUAACCUGCCCAUAAGACUGGGAUAACUCAGGGAAACCGGCGCUAAUACCGGAUAACAUUUUGAACCGCAUGGUUCGAAAUUGAAAGGCGGCUUCGGCUGUCACUUAUGGCUGGACCCGCGUCGCAUUAGCUAGUUGGUGAGGUAACGGCUCACCAAGGCAACGAUGCGUAGCCGACCUGAGAGGGUGAUCGGCCACACUGGGACUGAGACACGGCCCAGACUCCUACGGGAGGCAGCAGUAGGGAAUCUUCCGCAAUGGACGAAAGUCUGACGGAGCAACGCCGCGUGAGUGAUGAAGGCUUUCGGGUCGUAAAACUCUGUUGUUAGGGAAGAACAAGUGCUAGUUGAAUAAGCUGGCACCUUGACGGUACCUAACCAGAAAGCCACGGCUAACUACGUGCCAGCCGCCGCGGUAA
RNAcentral lists this ribosomal RNA (515 nucleotides) under uncultured bacterium. RNAcentral describes it as "partial 16S ribosomal RNA". It matches the Rfam family "Bacterial small subunit ribosomal RNA", at positions 29 to 523 of the family's 1533-position model. The record is from RNAcentral.